UGAACGCUGGCGGCAGGCCUAACACAUGCAAGUCGAACGGUAACAGGAAGCAGCUUGCUGCUUCGCUGACGAGUGGCGGACGGGUGAGUAAUGUCUGGGGAUCUGCCUGAUGGAGGGGGAUAACUACUGGAAACGGUAGCUAAUACCGCAUAACGUCGCAAGACCAAAGAGGGGGACCUUCGGGCCUCUUGCCAUCAGAUGAACCCAGAUGGGAUUAGCUAGUAGGUGGGGUAACGGCUCACCUAGGCGACGAUCCCUAGCUGGUCUGAGAGGAUGACCAGCCACACUGGAACUGAGACACGGUCCAGACUCCUACGGGAGGCAGCAGUGGGGAAUAUUGCACAAUGGGCGCAAGCCUGAUGCAGCCAUGCCGCGUGUAUGAAGAAGGCCUUCGGGUUGUAAAGUACUUUCAGCGAGGAGGAAGGUGAUAAGGUUAAUAACCUUAUCAAUUGACGUUACUCGCAGAAGAAGCACCGGCUAACUCCGUGCCAGCAGCCGCGGUAAUACGGAGGGUGCAAGCGUUAAUCGGAAUUACUGGGCGUAAAGCGCACGCAGGCGGUCUGUCAAGUCGGAUGUGAAAUCCCCGGGCUCAACCUGGGAACUGCAUUCGAAACUGGCAGGCUAGAGUCUUGUAGAGGGGGGUAGAAUUCCAGGUGUAGCGGUGAAAUGCGUAGAGAUCUGGAGGAAUACCGGUGGCGAARGCGGCCCCCUGGACAAAGACUGACGCUCAGGUGCGAAAGCGUGGGGAGCAAACAGGAUUAGAUACCCUGGUAGUCCACGCCGUAAACGAUGUCGACUUGGAGGUUGUUCCCUUGAGGAGUGGCUUCCGGAGCUAACGCGUUAAGUCGACCGCCUGGGGAGUACGGCCGCAAGGUUAAAACUCAAAUGAAUUGACGGGGGCCCGCACAAGCGGUGGAGCAUGUGGUUUAAUUCAAUGCAACGCGAAGAACCUUACCUGGCCUUGACAUCCACGGAAUUUGGCAGAGAUGCCUUAGUGCCUUCGGGAACCGUGAGACGGGUGCUGCAUGGCUGUCGUCAGCUCGUGUUGUGAAAUGUUGGGUUAAGUCCCGCAACGAGCGCAACCCUUAUCCUUUGUUGCCAGCGAUUCGGUCGGGAACUCAAAGGAGACUGCCGGUGAUAAACCGGAGGAAGGUGGGGAUGACGUCAAGUCAUCAUGGCCCUUACGGCCAGGGCUACACACGUGCUACAAUGGCGUAUACAAAGAGAAGCGAACUCGCGAGAGCAAGCGGACCUCAUAAAGUACGUCGUAGUCCGGAUCGGAGUCUGCAACUCGACUCCGUGAAGUCGGAAUCGCUAGUAAUCGUGGAUCAGAAUGCCACGGUGAAUACGUUCCCGGGCCUUGUACACACCGCCCGUCACACCAUGGGAGUGGGUUGCAAAAGAAGUAGGUAGCUUAACCUUCGGGAGGGCGCUUACCACUUUGUGAUUCAUGACUGGGGUGAAGUCGUAACAAGGUAACCGUAGGGGAACCUGCGGCUGGAAUCACCUCCUAAAGGGCAGCUUCA
Molecule: ribosomal RNA, 1526 nt
Filed under: Cronobacter sp. YIM h-10
Lineage: Bacteria; Pseudomonadati; Pseudomonadota; Gammaproteobacteria; Enterobacterales; Enterobacteriaceae
Description: bacterial SSU rRNA
Rfam family: Bacterial small subunit ribosomal RNA
Source: RNAcentral